GAUGAACGCUGGCUACAGGCUUAACACAUGCAAGUCGAGGGGAAACGCCGGGGAAGCUUGCUUUGCCGGGCGUGGACCGGCGUACGGGUGAGUAACGCGUAUUCACCCUGCCUCUGACUGAGGUAUAACCAGUCGAAAGUCGGCCUAAUACCGCAUUGCAUCUGCUGCGUGCAUCCAACGACGAUUAAAGAGUUGAUCGGGCAGAGGUGGGGUGGCGUCUGAUUAGCUUGUUGGCGGGUUAACGGCCCAUUAAGGCGUCGAUCAGUAGGGGUUCUGAGAGGAACGGCCCCCACAGUGGGACUGGGACACGGGGCAAACUCAUACGGGAGGCAGCAGUGCGGGAUAUUGGUGAAUGGGAGAGAGCCUGAUCGAGCCAAGUAGCGUGCAGGAACGCGGCCCUAGGGAUUGUAGCCUGCUGUUAUGCGGGGGUAAAGUGAGGGACGUGACCUUCAUUGAAGGUACUGGAUGAAUAAGCACCGGCUAAUUCCGUG
Molecule: ribosomal RNA, 491 nt
Filed under: uncultured bacterium
Lineage: Bacteria
Description: partial 16S ribosomal RNA
Rfam family: Bacterial small subunit ribosomal RNA
Source: RNAcentral